RNAcentral lists this ribosomal RNA (429 nucleotides) under Chloroflexota bacterium. RNAcentral describes it as "Chloroflexi bacterium partial 16S ribosomal RNA". It matches the Rfam family "Bacterial small subunit ribosomal RNA", at positions 355 to 776 of the family's 1533-position model. The record is from RNAcentral. Lineage: Bacteria; Bacillati; Chloroflexota.
UGGGGAAUAUUGCACAAUGGGCGCAAGCCUGAUGCAGCCAUGCCGCGUGUGUGAAGAAGGCCUUCGGGUUGUAAAGCACUUUCAGCGGGGAGGAAGGCGAUAAGGUUAAUAACCUUGUCGAUUGACGUUACCCGCAGAAGAAGCACCGGCUAACUCCGUGCCAGCAGCCGCGGUAAUACGGAGGGUGCAAGCGUUAAUCGGAAUUACUGGGCGUAAAGCGCACGCAGGCGGUCUGUCAAGUCGGAUGUGAAAUCCCCGGGCUCAACCUGGGAACUGCAUUCGAAAAUGGCAGGCUAGAGUCUUGGAGAGGGGGGUAGAAUUCCAGGUGUAGCGGUGAAAUGCGUAGAGAUCUGGAGGAAUACCGGUGGCGAAGGCGGCCCCCUGGACAAAGACUGACGCUCAGGUGCGAAAGCGUGGGGAGCAAACAGG